UACGAAGGGGACUAGCGUUGUUCGGAAUUACUGGGCGUAAAGCGCACGUAGGCGGAUUUGUAAGUCAGGGGUGAAAUCCCGGGGCUCAACCUCGGAACUGCCUUUGAUACUGCAAAUCUCGAGUCCGAUAGAGGUGGGUGGAAUUCCUAGUGUAGAGGUGAAAUUCGUGGAUAUUAGGAAGAACACCGGUGGCGAAGGCGGCCCACUGGAUCGGUACUGACGCUGAGGUGCGAAAGCGUGGGGAGCAAACAGG
This 253-nucleotide ribosomal RNA is filed under the name uncultured bacterium. RNAcentral's name for it is "partial 16S ribosomal RNA". It matches the Rfam family "Bacterial small subunit ribosomal RNA", at positions 524 to 776 of the family's 1533-position model. The record is from RNAcentral.